GUUAGCCUUGACCAUGUUCCCCAGAUAGCCGUGGAGGUUUUUACUUGCUGCCAGUGAACAGCUGCUCAGAGGAUGAAGAUGGAGAAAUAAGGGAGAGGCUUGGGGGCCUUAAGGUUUCCCUCGGUGCCUCUGCCCCUCACCACAAGGGAAUCCCUCCUCUACAAGACGUGCCAGUGGAUGCCUUUUCUCUUCGCCGAGGCGCAUGCGCACCUCCUCCCCAGCCACCUCCUGUGGCUCCCCGGCCUCCCAGGCCUAACUGGCUACUGACAGAACCCCCAAGCAGAGAGGACACUCAGCAGAACCAGAACCAGACCCCAGGCCAAAGCUGCAGCCGCAGUCGCAGUCACAGCCGCAGUCGCAGCGGCAGCCGCAGCCGCAGUCGCAGCCAAGGUCGAGGCAAGUCUGCUGGAUGCAGGCGCUCCCCUUCCCCGGCACCCAUCACCACUGCCACCUCAGCCAACGGGCGUUACCACAGGCCUCGAAAGGCAAGGCCCCUGCUUCCACGACCCCUAGAUGGGCAGGUGGCCAAAGUGGGAGUCAGGCAAGAGCCCUUGGAGAAUGGGAUUGAUCAGACAGCUGAGGACGAAGCUGGGAAUGCCACCAC
Molecule: long non-coding RNA, 604 nt
Filed under: Rattus norvegicus (Norway rat)
Lineage: Eukaryota; Metazoa; Chordata; Mammalia; Rodentia; Muridae
Description: long non-coding RNA NONRATT003832
Source: RNAcentral